This is a non-coding RNA of Trichobilharzia regenti, 44 nucleotides long. The record is from Rfam. Lineage: Eukaryota; Metazoa; Platyhelminthes; Trematoda; Strigeidida; Schistosomatidae.
CUCCAGUGACGAGUCUCAAAUAGGACGAAAUGCGCAUCCUGGAU